This 93-nucleotide transfer RNA is filed under the name Brachystegia angustistipulata. Its description in RNAcentral is "tRNA-Ser". The stretch from base 1 to 77 matches the Rfam family "tRNA", at positions 17 to 71 of the family's 71-position model. Rfam says of the family: Transfer RNA (tRNA) molecules are approximately 80 nucleotides in length. Their secondary structure includes four short double-helical elements and three loops (D, anti-codon, and T loops). The record is from RNAcentral. Lineage: Eukaryota; Viridiplantae; Streptophyta; Magnoliopsida; Fabales; Fabaceae.
GGUUGAUAGCUCCGGUCUUGAAAACCGGUAUAGUUCGAAACAAAGAACUAUCGAGGGUUCGAAUCCCUCUCUCUCCUUUUGCUCGACGAAUGA